UGAACUUUCUAUCCUAAUUUCUCUAAAAGAUCGCGAUAUUCUAACAACGUGAAUUUGACACAAAUUUGACAACGUUAUGUGUGAGUUUUUAAUUGGUCUAAUUUAAUUUUUUUUUUUAUUUUAAAAUCUGAUUUGGAUAAGGUUGAGGAUUAGAUUUCGAAAGUGUCCUUUCUUCUAUUUCACAUUCUAUUACUCUCUUCUCUCCAUUUUAGGCAUUUCAUUUUCAUCUCAACUCUCUCCACAACACUCUCUUCUCCCUUCUCCAUUUUUAGGUUUUCAUUUUGAUUUCAAUCUCUCUCUUCCAUUUUAGUUUUGUGCAUUGUCUGCCCCGUUAGAAGUGUGUGUUUCUCUGUAGAGUUCAUGCUCUGCGUUCAUCGAAGGUUUGUUUAAAGUUUCUCCUUCUCUCUUCGUUUUUGUGUGAAAUGGAUUCGACCCAUGACAUUGGCUCUUCGAACAAGGUUUGGUUUUGUGAUCGUUUCAUUCCUUCGAGUGCUUGUGUAGAGAAACACCCAAGAAUUUUGCAUUGGAUGAAUAUAAAUGUUGGUGACAAGUUCAUCAAACGUGAAAUAGAGACAGAUGGUUGAUGAUUAUGGUGCAUCAAGGAACAAAAUGAGUGAGCCAUUUUUGAACUUAAUCCAACUAUAAAGGAUUUAAAGAAGCAAAUAAAGACAACAAGCAAUAGGAAAAAGAAAAAACAAAUUGAUGUUGCUUUAGAUGAACAAGAGACUCUAAUUGAAGAACUUCAAGAAGAGAUAUCUGCAUUGCGGGCUGAGCUGCUUGAAGAGAAGAAUAAAGAUGAAGGUGGUUACACUACGCCUUAUGAAAAAGAUGACUUUGAAUGUGAAGGAGGAAUUGACAGCCACGACAUUGUUAAGAAGGAAGCAGUACGUUGAAAGCAUUACAAAAGUCAAGCUUGUAGAACUCCCUACACUGGAUAUAGUCCAAAACUUGAGUCAUUUAUGUAAUUUGUUUUUCAAUAGUGCAAUAUUGGUAGAUGGUCAAAUAUG
Long non-coding RNA from Vigna radiata var. radiata (mung bean), 1007 nucleotides. RefSeq lists it as uncharacterized. The transcript is spliced from 3 exons. Lineage: Eukaryota; Viridiplantae; Streptophyta; Magnoliopsida; Fabales; Fabaceae. The record is from RefSeq and is a predicted model, not a curated record.